Poecilia latipinna (sailfin molly) is the source of this 312-nucleotide long non-coding RNA. RefSeq lists it as uncharacterized. The transcript is spliced from 3 exons. NCBI's taxonomy places the organism in Eukaryota, Metazoa, Chordata, Actinopteri, Cyprinodontiformes, Poeciliidae. The record is from RefSeq and is a predicted model, not a curated record.
CACAGGAGAAAGGCUUCUCACCUGUAUGAAUUCUGAUGUGAUGAGUUAAAGUCCCUCUUUCACUGUAACUCUUUCCACAGAUACCACAGGUGAAAGGCUUCUCACCUGUAUGAAUUCUCAUGUGAACAUUGAACUGUUCUUUUUUAGAGAAACUCUUUCCACAGAUACCACAGGUGAAAGGCUUCUCACCUGUAUGAAUUCUCAUGUGAACAUUGAAAUUACCUUUAUCAGAGAAACUUUUUCCGCAGGUCCCACAGGAGAAAGGCUUCUCACCUGUAUGAAUUUUGAUGUGAUGAGUUAAACUCUGUCUAU